Molecule: ribosomal RNA, 253 nt
Filed under: uncultured bacterium
Lineage: Bacteria
Description: partial 16S ribosomal RNA
Rfam family: Bacterial small subunit ribosomal RNA
Source: RNAcentral
UACGUAGGUGGCAAGCGUUGUCCGGAAUUAUUGGGCGUAAAGCGCGCGCAGGCGGCCUCUUAAGUCUGAUGUGAAAGCCCCCGGCUCAACCGGGGAGGGCCAUUGGAAACUGGGAGGCUUGAGUAUAGGAGAGAAGAGUGGAAUUCCACAUGUAGCGGUGAAAUGCGUAGAGAUGUGGAGGAACACCAGUGGCGAAGGCGACUCUUUGGCCUAUAACUGACGCUGAGGCGCGAAAGCGUGGGGAGCAAACAGG